RNAcentral lists this long non-coding RNA (600 nucleotides) under Homo sapiens (human). RNAcentral describes it as "HSALNT0090170". The record is from RNAcentral. Lineage: Eukaryota; Metazoa; Chordata; Mammalia; Primates; Hominidae.
AGCUGCUUCCAACCUGACGGCAGAUGCUGCUGGCACUUGGUCCCCUUCACCCGCGGCUAGCGAGGGUGCAUGCGCAGUUGCAUUAGACAGUUUUCGACAUACCUUCUCAGAUGGAGUCUUACUCUGUCACCCAGGCUGGAGUCCAGUGGCAUGACCUCAGCUCAUUGCAACCUCUGCCCCACCCGGGUUCAAGCGAUUCUCCUGCCUCAGCCUCCUGAGUAGCUGGGAUUACAGGAGAGACAGAACAGCUGAGGAAACAGCAGAACGGUGGAAAAUUUUUGAAAGUGUUUUGAGCCCACCCAACCUGAGGAGAGCAUUCAAAGAAAAACAGGAAGAAGGGCUUUGGACAGUCCUGAUAAUUGGCUAACGGUGGGAUACACAUAGACUUGUUAUUAACAGCCAAGAUAACUUGAGUCAUUGAGUGACUAAGACAUGUGCCUGUCCUUACAACCAGGACAAGAUGAAGAUGCGAUCCAUGUGAAGUGUUGAAUUAACCUUGUGAAGUCCAAAUUUUGAAGAUAUGUAAACUCACUUUAAUUUAUUAAUAAGCCUAUAAUUAAGCCAAAAGGUACCUCUUUAAUAAUGAUUACCUCUGGAAAG